AUGGUUUCUUGAAAUUUAAUAGGAAAUUUGGCCUGCCCACUGAAUAUUGAAGGGCUGCAGUAUUAUGACUGUACAAAGGUAGCGUAAUCAUUAGUCUUUUAAUUAAAGACCAGAAUAAAAGGUUAGACAAGGGAGUACUAUCUUUAAUGAAUUGAAUUGAAUUUUUCUUUUUUGUUAAAAGACAAAAAUAAAAAUAAAAGACAAGAAGACCCUUUUAAAGUUUAUUUAAUUAGUGAUUUUUGUUAAAAUAAUAAGAAUAAAAUUAAUUAAUUGAGUUCUGUUGGGGAGACAAAGGUAAUAAUCUAUAAAUCUAAUAAAUAAGAAUAUUUAAAUGAAAGAUAAGAGCCUGGAUGAGGGCUUAAAGAAUAAGUUACUAAAGGGAUAACAGCGUAAUAUUAUUUGAGAGGUCUUAUUGACAAUAAUGAUU
Molecule: ribosomal RNA, 427 nt
Filed under: Stygiiulus fimbriatus
Lineage: Eukaryota; Metazoa; Arthropoda; Diplopoda; Julida; Julidae
Description: partial large subunit ribosomal RNA
Source: RNAcentral